AAUUCUCCAUUUAAAAAUCGCAUUUCAAAAUUAACAAAUUUCUAAAAACCUUUCAAAAAUCAGGUGCUAAUUAAAUUUAUUAAAUAUUAAUUAUAAUAUAGUAUAAUUAAUUUACUUACCCACCUCACCUCACUUUCAACUCCACCCACGCAUCACAUCAAACUCUUUUAUUUCUCUCUCCAACCUAGCCCACCCCAAUCUUGGCGACUUCUCCGGUGACGGCUCCAACAACAAUUCUGGCGACUGUUACGAUGACAAUUCUGACAACCGCUCUGGAGACAAUCUGACGACCUCCCAACGAUGCUCCGACAACCGUUCGACGAAAAUUUCGAUGACAGGUCACUUUUCUGACGACUACCUUUUUUCUUCUUUUUUUGGCAAUGACCUGUUACCAGUUCCAUUAGAUCUGUGAUUAGUUCUAUUGAAUCUGUGACCUAAUUAAGUGGGAUGAAUAUGCAUAUGAUUAAUUUCAAUAUUCAGAAAUAAAGUUUGAAAUUUCACAUGUUAUUUGUGACCAUACCUGUAUGAUAUAUGACCAAUUCACUGACUUAUGUUACCUGAGGAUCACCAUGACCAACUUUGCUUUCGAUGUAACUAAUUGUAACCAAAUUUGUAUUCAUUGUGACUUUCUAUGAUCAGAUCAAUCUCAGGUCACAACUGGUCAUAAUCAAUACAAAAUUAGUCACAAACAGUCACAAUCAGAUCUCGAACUGAAAAAAUAAGCUCUCCAACCACCACAACAGAUCUGUUCGAAAAAAUAAUAACCACCACUACUACAACAUCUUUAACUCAAAUUGAUGACCAUAAAUACUACAUUCACCUCAAAUCCACAACAAUCAUCACUACCAUAACUUUCACCAACCCUUCAAAAAACACCAACCAACACCACCACACUUCUCUCAUGAAACUCCGGUGAGAG
This 919-nucleotide long non-coding RNA is filed under the name Olea europaea subsp. europaea. The record is from RNAcentral. Lineage: Eukaryota; Viridiplantae; Streptophyta; Magnoliopsida; Lamiales; Oleaceae.